GACGAACGCUGGCGGCGUGCUUAACACAUGCAAGUCACGGGGGCUCGCAAGAGCAACCGGCGAACGGGUGCGUAACACGUGAGCAACCUGCCGAUCUGAGGGGGAUAGCCGGCCCAACGGCCGGGUAAUACCGCAUACGUUCUCGAGGGGGAGUCCUCUUGGGAAGAAACCUCCGGGGCAGAUCGAGGGGCUCGCGGCCUAUCAGCUAGUUGGCGGUGUAAUGGACCACCAAGGCUANGACGGGUAGCUGGUCUGGGAGGAUGGCCAGCCACAUUGGGACUGAGAGACGGCCCAGACUCCUACGGGAGGCAGCAGUGGGGAAUCUUGCGCAAUGGCCGAAAGGCUGACGCAGCGACGCCGCGUGUGGGAUGAAGCAUUUCGGUGUGUAAACCACUGUUGCCCGGGACGAACAUCCUCUUUCGAGAGGACUGACGGUACCGGGUGAGGAAGCACCGGCUAACUCCGUGCCAGCAGCCG
This 477-nucleotide ribosomal RNA is filed under the name uncultured bacterium. Its description in RNAcentral is "bacterial SSU rRNA". It matches the Rfam family "Bacterial small subunit ribosomal RNA", at positions 28 to 517 of the family's 1533-position model. The record is from RNAcentral.